ACACUUGACAGCACCUCGGUCUUCGGAGUAUGUACGUCGCAUGGUCGUAAUCCGGGAAACUGGAUUGCAUGCAGGACGCGGGGGCGGAACCCGCCGCCUCCACCAUAACCACACUGGCCCGCGUUUGGGGUUAGAUAUCACGCCUGUGGGCGUCACUGGCAACGGCCGCGCCUUCCACAAGACGGCAGCGCUCAGUGUGGUUAUGAUGGGGGCGAAAUAGGAUCGACUGCUGUGAGCAAGGGGACACGCGACCCGGUGAGGUACACCGUUAUCGUCCGAACCUAGAAACUGUCGCAAACGACAAUUUCCCUGUGGCCAACCGCCUCGCGGCGUAACCCACUGGGCAUCCCCGGCCUGUAAACAGAACAGGGGAAGA
This 376-nucleotide transfer-messenger RNA is filed under the name Pseudaminobacter soli (ex Zhang et al. 2022). The stretch from base 24 to 335 matches the Rfam family "Alphaproteobacteria transfer-messenger RNA", at positions 40 to 270 of the family's 355-position model. Rfam says of the family: Bacterial tmRNA, also known as 10Sa RNA or SsrA, is named for its dual tRNA and mRNA-like properties. Its role is to liberate the mRNA from a stalled ribosome. To accomplish this part of the tmRNA is used as a reading frame that ends in a translation stop signal. The record is from RNAcentral. Lineage: Bacteria; Pseudomonadati; Pseudomonadota; Alphaproteobacteria; Hyphomicrobiales; Phyllobacteriaceae.